CGCUUGCAUAAAUGCCACUUGAACUUUGGCCGAGGUGUCGGCGUUCAUGGGAAAUAGCAACGGGAACUACCGACUGCCUUGACAUUGAAACGGGGCGGGCGGUGGAGUGAAGAGAGUGUGUGAGAACGCGACAUUCGGACCGCCGCGAGUGCGCACUAUGCAAAAUGUGAAUUAAAUUGCAACAUUUGAUUCACUUAUUUCCAGGCAGGCGGCGUUACGUGAGUGUCUGCCAUACCCCCGACUGCUUCGCUCCCUCGAGCGGCGAUUCUCUGGCGAAUAAUGGGUCGCAGUCGCAGAACACACAUGAAAACGAGAAGAAUUGCUCAAACGAGAUUGAAAUAAAGCAAACAACAGUCGUGCACAGAGCGAAAUAACACUUGUUCGGCGGCUUAUUUAAGAGAUUGGCUUUGGAACAAACCAAACCUGUUAUUUUACAAAAUAUAUAAACAAAACUUUA
This is a long non-coding RNA of Drosophila teissieri, 457 nucleotides long. RefSeq lists it as uncharacterized. The record is from RefSeq and is a predicted model, not a curated record. NCBI's taxonomy places the organism in Eukaryota, Metazoa, Arthropoda, Insecta, Diptera, Drosophilidae. The transcript is spliced from 2 exons.